Pseudophryne corroboree (corroboree frog) is the source of this 782-nucleotide long non-coding RNA. RefSeq lists it as uncharacterized. The transcript has 3 exons. The record is from RefSeq and is a predicted model, not a curated record. NCBI's taxonomy places the organism in Eukaryota, Metazoa, Chordata, Amphibia, Anura, Myobatrachidae.
ACCUGACUGGUCAUGUGACCAGCUCCUGAGCAGUUGCUGGGGCUGCUGGGAGUUGAGGUCUGUCAGUUGUAUAAUGACAUACACCAGCGCUGUAGCGUGAUGCACAAUAUCUGACAUACUGUAAUACUGCUCAUAGUGGGGUAUUACACUAACAAUUAAAGAGAGGCUACCUUUAGGCCAGGACUAGGUCAGUAUGAUGGCAGGCGGUAUGGAUCAAUGCUGUAUUUGAAAAGAUGCCUAAAAUGUACAUGGGAAUGAACAGUGAGCAAAGAAGCUACACAUUCAUUCAGUAUGGCCACACCCACAAUGAUGUCAACACCUAAAUGUUAUGUGGUGAAAGGGCUUUGGUCUCACCACAAUUGCCCACAUUUCUGUGGGAUCAGCUCCCUCCAAGAAAGAGGAAAACACAUUCUGCAACUAUAGUAAUAAUUUUGAAUUCUGGGUCUUCCAGAGCCAUCAGGAAGUCAGAAGCAGGAGGGAUUUAAAACUCCCAUACACCCACUGCACAGUGCACUGAUGCCUGCCAGAGGCCAGUUAGUAGGCCAUGGUCUCCGUAAUGCUAGGGACAGAUGACACUGGCCGUGCCAGGAGAGCAUGGCAGUUUGUGGCUGCAGGCCACUGCAGCAGGAUUGACUGAUAAGCAUGAGGAGUGCUGGCACAUUUUAGUUUCACCUGUUUGUUUGUUUGUUUGUUUAUUUUAUGUACCUCUAUCGCCAUAAGCCUGGCCAUGCUGUUUUACAGUGUCUGCUAUCAGUAAAAAGACAAUCUGAUUCACCGAAUAA